RNAcentral lists this unclassified non-coding RNA (349 nucleotides) under soil metagenome. RNAcentral describes it as "partial contains 5.8S ribosomal RNA, internal transcribed spacer 2, and large subunit ribosomal RNA". The stretch from base 1 to 119 matches the Rfam family "5.8S ribosomal RNA", at positions 35 to 154 of the family's 154-position model. The record is from RNAcentral.
GAUGAAGAACGCAGCGAAAUGCGAUACGUAAUGUGAAUUGCAGACACCGUGAAUCAUCGAAUCUUUGAACGCACAUUGCGCCCCCUGGCAUUCCGGGGGGCAUGCCUGUCCGAGCGUCAUUGCUGCCCUUCAAGCCCGGCUUGUGUGUUGGGUCGUCGUCCCCCCCGGGGGACGGGCCCGAAAGGCAGCGGCGGCACCGCGUCCGGUCCUCGAGCGUAUGGGGCUUUGUCACCCGCUCGAUUAGGGCCGGCCGGGCGCCAGCCGGCGUCUCCAACCUUCUAUUUUACCAGGUUGACCUCGGAUCAGGUAGGGAUACCCGCUGAACUUAAGCAUAUCAAUAAGCGGAGGA